CCCCUUCAAACCUGUGUCCAACCUUUAUCCCAAAACAGGAUGUUGUGCAGAGGCCAUGAAAACACUGAUCCAAAUAAAAAGCUUACAGCACCUAGUAUUCCCAUUCAGUCUCCCAACCGAGUACUAACCAGGCCCAACUCUGCUUUGCUUCCGAGGUCAGAUGAGAUCAGGCUUUUUCAGAGUGGUAUGGCCGUAAGCGAAAGCUGACCCCAAAUGGGGCCUAUUUUAAAUAGUGUAAUCAAAAGACUGACUGACUGAUUGAUUGAUUGAUUGGGUCCCCUUCAAACCUGUGUCCAACCUUUAUCCCAAAACAGGAUGUUGUGCAGAGGCCAUGAAAACACUGAUCCAAAUAAAAAGCUUACAGCACCUAGUAUUCCCAUUCAGUCUCAUAACCAAGUACUAACCAGGCCCAACUCUGCUUUGCUUCCGAGGUCAGAUGAGAUCAGGCUUUGUCAGAGUGGUAUGGCCGUAAGCGAAAGCUGACCCCAAAUGGGGCCUAUUUAAAUAGUGUAAUCAAAAGACUGACUGAGUGACUGACUGAUUGAUUGAUUGGGUCCCCUUCAAACCUGUGUCCAACCUUUAUCCCAAAACAGGAUGUUGUGCAGAGGCCAUGAAAACACUGAUCCAAAUAAAAAGCUUACAGCACCUAGUAUUCCCAUUCAGUCUCCCAACCAAGUACUAACCAGGCCCAACUCUGCUUUGCUUCCGAGGUCAGAUGAGAUCAGGCUUUUUCAGAGUGGUAUGGCCGUAAGCGAAAGCUGACCCCAAAUGGGGCCUAUUUAAAUAGUGUAAUCAAAAGAGACUGACUGACUGACUGACUGACUGACUGAUUGAUGAUUGAUUGAUUGGGUCCCCUUCAAACCUGUGUCCAACCUUUAUCCCAAAACAGGAUGUUGUGCAGAGGCCAUGAAAACACUGAUCCAAAUAAAAAGCUUACAGCACCUAGUAUUCCCAUUCAGUCUCCCAACCAAGUACUAACCAGGCCCAACUCUGCUUUGCUUCCGAGGUCAGAUGAGAUCAGGCUUUUUCAGAGUGGUAUGGCCGUAAGCGAAAGCUGACCCCAAAUGGGGCCUAUUUAAAUAGUGUAAUCAAAGACUGACUGA
Ictalurus punctatus (channel catfish) is the source of this 1103-nucleotide long non-coding RNA. The record is from Ensembl. NCBI's taxonomy places the organism in Eukaryota, Metazoa, Chordata, Actinopteri, Siluriformes, Ictaluridae.